Molecule: ribosomal RNA, 2902 nt
Filed under: Escherichia coli
Lineage: Bacteria; Pseudomonadati; Pseudomonadota; Gammaproteobacteria; Enterobacterales; Enterobacteriaceae
Description: bacterial LSU rRNA
Rfam family: Bacterial large subunit ribosomal RNA
Source: RNAcentral
UUAAGCGACUAAGCGUACACGGUGGAUGCCCUGGCAGUCAGAGGCGAUGAAGGACGUGCUAAUCUGCGAUAAGCGUCGGUAAGGUGAUAUGAACCGUUAUAACCGGCGAUUUCCGAAUGGGGAAACCCAGUGUGAUUCGUCACACUAUCAUUAACUGAAUCCAUAGGUUAAUGAGGCGAACCGGGGGAACUGAAACAUCUAAGUACCCCGAGGAAAAGAAAUCAACCGAGAUUCCCCCAGUAGCGGCGAGCGAACGGGGAGCAGCCCAGAGCCUGAAUCAGUGUGUGUGUUAGUGGAAGCGUCUGGAAAGGCGCGCGAUACAGGGUGACAGCCCCGUACACAAAAAUGCACAUGCUGUGAGCUCGAUGAGUAGGGCGGGACACGUGGUAUCCUGUCUGAAUAUGGGGGGACCAUCCUCCAAGGCUAAAUACUCCUGACUGACCGAUAGUGAACCAGUACCGUGAGGGAAAGGCGAAAAGAACCCCGGCGAGGGGAGUGAAAAAGAACCUGAAACCGUGUACGUACAAGCAGUGGGAGCACGCUUAGGCGUGUGACUGCGUACCUUUUGUAUAAUGGGUCAGCGACUUAUAUUCUGUAGCAAGGUUAACCGAAUAGGGGAGCCGAAGGGAAACCGAGUCUUAACUGGGCGUUAAGUUGCAGGGUAUAGACCCGAAACCCGGUGAUCUAGCCAUGGGCAGGUUGAAGGUUGGGUAACACUAACUGGAGGACCGAACCGACUAAUGUUGAAAAAUUAGCGGAUGACUUGUGGCUGGGGGUGAAAGGCCAAUCAAACCGGGAGAUAGCUGGUUCUCCCCGAAAGCUAUUUAGGUAGCGCCUCGUGAAUUCAUCUCCGGGGGUAGAGCACUGUUUCGGCAAGGGGGUCAUCCCGACUUACCAACCCGAUGCAAACUGCGAAUACCGGAGAAUGUUAUCACGGGAGACACACGGCGGGUGCUAACGUCCGUCGUGAAGAGGGAAACAACCCAGACCGCCAGCUAAGGUCCCAAAGUCAUGGUUAAGUGGGAAACGAUGUGGGAAGGCCCAGACAGCCAGGAUGUUGGCUUAGAAGCAGCCAUCAUUUAAAGAAAGCGUAAUAGCUCACUGGUCGAGUCGGCCUGCGCGGAAGAUGUAACGGGGCUAAACCAUGCACCGAAGCUGCGGCAGCGACGCUGAUGCGUUGUUGGGUAGGGGAGCGUUCUGUAAGCCUGCGAAGGUGUGCUGUGAGGCAUGCUGGAGGUAUCAGAAGUGCGAAUGCUGACAUAAGUAACGAUAAAGCGGGUGAAAAGCCCGCUCGCCGGAAGACCAAGGGUUCCUGUCCAACGUUAAUCGGGGCAGGGUGAGUCGACCCCUAAGGCGAGGCCGAAAGGCGUAGUCGAUGGGAAACAGGUUAAUAUUCCUGUACUUGGUGUUACUGCGAAGGGGGGACGGAGAAGGCUAUGUUGGCCGGGCGACGGUUGUCCCGGUUUAAGCGUGUAGGCUGGUUUUCCAGGCAAAUCCGGAAAAUCAAGGCUGAGGCGUGAUGACGAGGCACUACGGUGCUGAAGCAACAAAUGCCCUGCUUCCAGGAAAAGCCUCUAAGCAUCAGGUAACAUCAAAUCGUACCCCAAACCGACACAGGUGGUCAGGUAGAGAAUACCAAGGCGCUUGAGAGAACUCGGGUGAAGGAACUAGGCAAAAUGGUGCCGUAACUUCGGGAGAAGGCACGCUGAUAUGUAGGUGAAGUCCCUUGCGGAUGGAGCUGAAAUCAGUCGAAGAUACCAGCUGGCUGCAACUGUUUAUUAAAAACACAGCACUGUGCAAACACGAAAGUGGACGUAUACGGUGUGACGCCUGCCCGGUGCCGGAAGGUUAAUUGAUGGGGUCAGCGCAAGCGAAGCUCUUGAUCGAAGCCCCGGUAAACGGCGGCCGUAACUAUAACGGUCCUAAGGUAGCGAAAUUCCUUGUCGGGUAAGUUCCGACCUGCACGAAUGGCGUAAUGAUGGCCAGGCUGUCUCCACCCGAGACUCAGUGAAAUUGAACUCGCUGUGAAGAUGCAGUGUACCCGCGGCAAGACGGAAAGACCCCGUGAACCUUUACUAUAGCUUGACACUGAACAUUGAGCCUUGAUGUGUAGGAUAGGUGGGAGGCUUUGAAGUGUGGACGCCAGUCUGCAUGGAGCCGACCUUGAAAUACCACCCUUUAAUGUUUGAUGUUCUAACGUUGACCCGUAAUCCGGGUUGCGGACAGUGUCUGGUGGGUAGUUUGACUGGGGCGGUCUCCUCCUAAAGAGUAACGGAGGAGCACGAAGGUUGGCUAAUCCUGGUCGGACAUCAGGAGGUUAGUGCAAUGGCAUAAGCCAGCUUGACUGCGAGCGUGACGGCGCGAGCAGGUGCGAAAGCAGGUCAUAGUGAUCCGGUGGUUCUGAAUGGAAGGGCCAUCGCUCAACGGAUAAAAGGUACUCCGGGGAUAACAGGCUGAUACCGCCCAAGAGUUCAUAUCGACGGCGGUGUUUGGCACCUCGAUGUCGGCUCAUCACAUCCUGGGGCUGAAGUAGGUCCCAAGGGUAUGGCUGUUCGCCAUUUAAAGUGGUACGCGAGCUGGGUUUAGAACGUCGUGAGACAGUUCGGUCCCUAUCUGCCGUGGGCGCUGGAGAACUGAGGGGGGCUGCUCCUAGUACGAGAGGACCGGAGUGGACGCAUCACUGGUGUUCGGGUUGUCAUGCCAAUGGCACUGCCCGGUAGCUAAAUGCGGAAGAGAUAAGUGCUGAAAGCAUCUAAGCACGAAACUUGCCCCGAGAUGAGUUCUCCCUGACUCCUUGAGAGUCCUGAAGGAACGUUGAAGACGACGACGUUGAUAGGCCGGGUGUGUAAGCGCAGCGAUGCGUUGAGCUAACCGGUACUAAUGAACCGUGAGGCUUAACCUU